RNAcentral lists this unclassified non-coding RNA (200 nucleotides) under Cyphellophora sp. RNAcentral's name for it is "partial internal transcribed spacer 2". Lineage: Eukaryota; Fungi; Ascomycota; Eurotiomycetes; Chaetothyriales; Cyphellophoraceae. The record is from RNAcentral.
UUAAGUUCAGCGGGUAUCCCUACCUGAUCCGAGGUCAACCUUGGUAAAAAGUGUCCCGAAGGACGAAGACCGGCGCCUGGACUUCUAGCCAUGUACGUGCCCGAAAGCUCAGUGUACAGGAGUCCUCGCAGACGCCGUCAUUAUCUUUGGGUGGAGCGUAGCCGGUUGACCAGUUACGCUGCCACCAACAGCAAGCCGGG